UCAGCAGUCAANGGAUAUUAGUCAAUGGCCUAACGGCUGAACUGGCAACUUGGAGAAGUGGCAAGUUCUUCCAGUAUGGGGAGCAAAACAGUCUAUGGGAUCAAGUCCGAUAUCUUUAGGAGAAGUCUUAUUGUGAGGGCGAGUUAUAUAACACCAUAGGACUGGCCGUCCCAUAUGAAAAGAUUAUAUUAGAAUUGAAUGAAGCUUUGUUUAUAUAUUGAUAAUGACAGUAUAUAUAUCGUGUCUUGACUAAUUGCGUGCCAGCAGUCGCGGUAAUACGUAAGAGACUAGUGUUAUUCAUCUUAAUUAGGUUUAAAGGGUACCCAGACGGUCAAUAUAGCUUAUAAAAUGUUAGUACUUGACUAGAGUUUUAUGUAAGAGGGCAGUACUUGAGGAGGAGAGAUGAAAUUUCGUGAUACCAAAGGGACUCUGUAAAGGCGAAGGCAGCCCUCUAUGUAAAAACUGACGUUGAAGGACGAAGGCACAGAGAACAAACAGGAUUAGAUACCCAAGUAGUCUUUGCAGUAAAUGAUGAAUGCCAUAGGUUAGAUUGGUCAAUUAUAGUCUAGGGUUAGUCUAGCAAACUAAUACCCUAUGCUAUAAUCCUAAUAUCUGGUCUAUAAAUGAAAGUGUAAGCAUUUCACCUUCAAGAGUAAUGUGGCAACGCAGGAACUGAAAUCAGCUAGACCGUUUCUGACACCAGUAGUGAAGUAUGUUAUUUAAUUCCGAUAAUCCGCA
RNAcentral lists this ribosomal RNA (738 nucleotides) under Fusarium oxysporum f. sp. cepae. RNAcentral describes it as "SSU rRNA". It matches the Rfam family "Bacterial small subunit ribosomal RNA", at positions 348 to 964 of the family's 1533-position model. Lineage: Eukaryota; Fungi; Ascomycota; Sordariomycetes; Hypocreales; Nectriaceae. The record is from RNAcentral.